AGAGUUUGAUCAUGGCUCAGAACGAACGCUGGCGGCGUGCUUAACACAUGCAAGUCGAACGGAAUUAGGGGCUUGCUCCUAAUUUAGUGGCGCACGGGUGAGUAACGCGUGGAUAACCUACCCUGGUAUCUGGGAUAACAUCUCGAAAGGGGUGCUAAUACCGGAUAAGCCCACGGGAACUUUGGUUCUUGCGGGAAAAGGUGGCCUCUAUUUAUAAGCUACUGUAUCAGGAUGGGUCCGCGUACCAUUAGCUAGUUGGUAGUGUAAUGGACUACCAAGGCUACGAUGGUUAGCUGGUCUGAGAGGAUGAUCAGCCACACUGGAACUGAGACACGGUCCAGACUCCUACGGGAGGCAGCAGUGGGGAAUUUUGCGCAAUGGGGGAAACCCUGACGCAGCAACGCCGCGUGAGUGAUGAAGGCCUUCGGGUCGUAAAGCUCUGUCAGAGGGGAAGAAGUGUAUGGGUGCUAAUACCAUCUAUACUUGACGGUACCCUCAAAGGAAGCACCGGCUAACUCCGUGCCAGCAGCCGCGGU
This 536-nucleotide ribosomal RNA is filed under the name uncultured Geobacter sp. Its description in RNAcentral is "bacterial SSU rRNA". It matches the Rfam family "Bacterial small subunit ribosomal RNA", at positions 8 to 521 of the family's 1533-position model. The record is from RNAcentral. Lineage: Bacteria; Pseudomonadati; Thermodesulfobacteriota; Desulfuromonadia; Geobacterales; Geobacteraceae.